CAGGACGACGCUGGCGGCGUGCUUAACACAUGCAAGUCGAACGGGAGGAGGAGAAAAGCUUGCUUUUUUCCAAAUCUAGUGGCAAACGGGUGAGUAACACGUAAACAACCUGCCUUCAGGAUGGGGACAACAGACGGAAACGACUGCUAAUACCGAAUACGCUCUAGAUACCGCAUGGUAACUAGAGGAAAGGGUGGCCUCUACUUGUAAGCUAUCGCCUGGAGAGGGGUUUGCGUCUGAUUAGGUAGUUGGUGAGGUAACGGCUCACCAAGCCGACGAUCAGUAGCCGGUCUGAGAGGAUGAACGGCCACACUGGAACUGAGACACGGUCCAGACUCCUACGGGAGGCAGCAGUGGGGAAUCUUCCGCAAUGGACGAAAGUCUGACGGAGCAACGCCGCGUGAGUGAUGACGGCCUUCGGGUUGUAAAGCUCUGUGAUUGGGGACGAAAGGUACGAUUGCUAAUACCAAUUGUAAUUGACUGUACCCAAAAAGCAAGCCACGGCUAACUACGUGCC
Molecule: ribosomal RNA, 517 nt
Filed under: uncultured bacterium
Lineage: Bacteria
Description: bacterial SSU rRNA
Rfam family: Bacterial small subunit ribosomal RNA
Source: RNAcentral